RNAcentral lists this long non-coding RNA (603 nucleotides) under Papio anubis (olive baboon). Its description in RNAcentral is "lncRNA (ENSPANG00000048668.1)". The record is from RNAcentral. Lineage: Eukaryota; Metazoa; Chordata; Mammalia; Primates; Cercopithecidae.
GAAGUCUCUCCCAUAAAGACAUAGAAUAUAAGUAUCUCCCAUAAAGGCACAGAAUAUAAGUCUCUCCCAUAAAGACACAGCAUAUAAGUAUCUCCCACAAAGACACAGCAUAUAAGUAUCUCCCACAAAGACACAGAAUAUAAGUCUCUCCCACAAAGACACAGCAUAUAAGUCUCUCCCACAAAGACACAGAAUAUAAGUCUCUCCCAUAAAGACAUAGAAUAUAAGUCUCUCCCAUAAAGACAUAGAAUAUAAGUAUCUCCCAUAAAGACAUAGAAUAUAAGUAUCUCCCACAAAGACAUAGAAUAUAAGUCUCUCCCACAAAGACACAGAAUAUAAAUCUCUCCCACAAAGACACAGCAUAUAAGUAGUCUCUCCCACAAAGACAUAGAAUAUAAGUAUCUCCCACAAAGACACAGAAUAUAAGUAUCUCCCACAAAGACACAGAAUAUAAGUCUCUCCCAUAAAGGCACAGAAUAUAAGUAUCUCCCACAAAGACAUAGAAUAUAAGUCUCUCCCAUAAAGACAUAGAAUAUAAGUCUCUCCCACAAAGACAUAGAAUAUAAGUCUCUCCCACAAAGACAUAGAAUAUAAGUAUCUCCA